This 307-nucleotide long non-coding RNA is filed under the name Hordeum vulgare. RNAcentral's name for it is "long non-coding RNA (HVUL_LNC013321)". The record is from RNAcentral. Lineage: Eukaryota; Viridiplantae; Streptophyta; Magnoliopsida; Poales; Poaceae.
GUAAGAGGAUGUGAUAAGAAAAUUGUUCAGUUGUUUUCUGCUCGUACAAUUUAUGCCCAGUUUCUUCUAUUUAUCUUGUGAUAAUGUGACUUGGAAAGUAUAAAUGUUAUCAUUUCCUUUUAAUUCAACAUUCAAGUCAUCCUUCCUUGCAGAUAACGGAAACCUCCAUAGGUCAAGCACUAUGCCGGGGGUGAUCAAGGAUACUGAGAUAACUACUGAAACUACGGGUCCAUCAAAUCUGUAAAGGUCAAAAACUGAGAGGCGCAAACAAAGUAACCCAGCUGAUGAUCCUGCUAAAUAGUUAUUG